AGUGAACGCUGGCGGUAGGCCUAACACAUGCAAGUCGAACGGCAGCACAGUAAGAGCUUGCUCUUACGGGUGGCGAGUGGCGGACGGGUGAGGAAUACAUCGGAAUCUACUUUUUCGUGGGGGAUAACGUAGGGAAACUUACGCUAAUACCGCAUACGACCUACGGGUAAAAGCAGGGGAUCUUCGGACCUUGCGCGAUUGAAUGAGCCGAUGUCGGAUUAGCUAGUUGGCGGGGUAAAGGCCCACCAAGGCGACGAUCCGUAGCUGGUCUGAGAGGAUGAUCAGCCACACUGGAACUGAGACACGGUCCAGACUCCUACGGGAGGCAGCAGUGGGGAAUAUUGGACAAUGGGCGCAAGCCUGAUCCAGCCAUACCGCGUGGGUGAAGAAGGCCUUCGGGUUGUAAAGCCCUUUUGUUGGGAAAGAAAAGCAGCAGGUUAAUACCCCGCCGUUCUGACGGUACCCAAAGAAUAAGCACCGGCUAACUUCGUG
RNAcentral lists this ribosomal RNA (492 nucleotides) under uncultured bacterium. RNAcentral's name for it is "partial 16S ribosomal RNA". It matches the Rfam family "Bacterial small subunit ribosomal RNA", at positions 29 to 507 of the family's 1533-position model. The record is from RNAcentral.